RNAcentral lists this non-coding RNA (24 nucleotides) under Arabidopsis thaliana (thale cress). The record is from RNAcentral. Lineage: Eukaryota; Viridiplantae; Streptophyta; Magnoliopsida; Brassicales; Brassicaceae.
CCCGAAAAUGGAUGGCGCUUAAGC